Molecule: non-coding RNA, 1234 nt
Organism: Cinara cedri
Lineage: Eukaryota; Metazoa; Arthropoda; Insecta; Hemiptera; Aphididae
Source: the annotation of a GenBank genome assembly
UGUAGGUAUAAUAAUAAUUAUAAUACACAGUAGGUAAUAAUAUUGUUAUUGUAUGGGCCGAGUAACUUUCUCGAUUAAAAACGGCCGCGUGUAAAGUAUCGGAUUCGAUUCGUUAUAGAUAAAAAAAAUACAAACAUUAUAAUCGAUAUUCGUUUUAUUACAUAUUAUGUGUAAUGUAUGCGAACAUGCGUGUUUCCCAUGACAGAAUAGACGAGCGUUAUCACAGCGUAUCGCGAUUUCGUGUGAAAACCACGUGAACGUACGUACACAUCCGGAAUCCGGGUUUGUAUACUUUCCGGAUUUUCACGGACGCGUAAGAGAUCCGAAACGUUUAAAUCCCAUUAAUGGAAUUAUUGAAUACCGUCGGGUUCGGACGUAUUACGUUUUCCGGAUCUGUACGGUUCAGAUUUCGAUAUCCGUAAGCGCCCCGCGUCAGUACGAAUCCGGACUCCAGGCGUGCACGUCCCGUGGUUUGUACAUUCCGGGUUUUUAUAGGCGGUUACGCCUCGUUUCCUCCGCGUUCUGCCUGUUAUGUCUUAGCAGUUCUCCAUUAUUACCGGUUAAAAUGCACACAGGCGCAAUUUUAUAAAUUAUUGCGGUUUUUUUGGUUUGGAUAAAAUAUUGAUUUUUUUUCCAUUAAAAUUUCGGGAAAUCACGUUUAAAACGGUAUUGUGUGAACGCACUUUUCAGUUUUCGUCUGAACAAUAAACAGCGAUCGUACAGAAAACCAUAACACUAUCUUAAUUUAUAUUUUAUAUUUUAAACGGUGAGGUACGAAAUUAUGAUCUAUUUAUAACUGAGGUUGCAUGAAAAUUUUAAAUUGACUGUAAUAUUAUGCUUAUUAUAGUACUAGGGGGGUGUGGGAGACUAAGCUCCACCACCACGAAUUUGUGUACCAUAAUCUAUUCUAGCGCCAUCUAAAUUCACGCCCGAUGUGCGCCAAUGUUAAAACUGUGUUAUUAGCCGACGAUAAAAGCGGAGAACCGCGACAACGCGGAAGCUAGGAGCGGGACGUGAGUGUCGAAAUACUGCGUACCCAUUUAUUCUGUCGUGUUUACAUUUUUCCGAUCGCGAUACGUUUUUCGUAUACAUAAUAGGCGUUUCAGCAAUAUUUACCGUCAGUCGAUUAUACAUGAUAUAAUAACGAAUAUGGUUUUUCGGUUUGGUUAAAAAUGAAAAAAAAAAAAAACCGUACGUAAUAUCUAAACAAAUUUUUAUAUAAUGAAUAAUAUUG